UAAAAGUGUCUGAUUAAAGUAAUAUAUUGUAAAUAUAUUUAAGAAAAAAAUUUUUUCCUUUUAA
This 64-nucleotide transfer RNA is filed under the name Lissoclinum patella. RNAcentral describes it as "tRNA-Tyr". The record is from RNAcentral. Lineage: Eukaryota; Metazoa; Chordata; Ascidiacea; Aplousobranchia; Didemnidae.